CACUGCUAAUUUAGUGAGAAGACAGACAUCCCUGUGGAGAAGAGAAACAAGAAAUGAUCGGGGACAAAGCCUGCAGGAGGAUGUGAACCAGAGAGGCCAGGGUAUGUGUUUGGGGUCUCACCAGUGCUUCUCACCUGUGAGUGCUUCCCCAUCGUCAUAACUUGGCCUGGGAACAGGAGAAAUAAACCAGACGGAAUUUCUCUCUAACCACACAAGAGCUGGUUAUUAUUUCCUUGGACUGACAUACUCAA
Mauremys reevesii (Reeves's turtle) is the source of this 251-nucleotide long non-coding RNA. RefSeq lists it as uncharacterized. NCBI's taxonomy places the organism in Eukaryota, Metazoa, Chordata, Testudines, Geoemydidae. The record is from RefSeq and is a predicted model, not a curated record. The transcript is spliced from 3 exons.